RNAcentral lists this ribosomal RNA (322 nucleotides) under uncultured eukaryote. Its description in RNAcentral is "partial 18S ribosomal RNA". It matches the Rfam family "Eukaryotic small subunit ribosomal RNA", at positions 1470 to 1796 of the family's 1831-position model. The record is from RNAcentral.
CCCUUAGAUGUCCUGGGCCGCACGCGUGCUACACUGAGUAAAUCAAUGGGUAAGGGAACACGAAAGUGCAACCUAAUCUUGAAAUUUGCUCGUGAUGGGGAUCGACGGUUGCAAUUUUCCGUCGUGAACGAGGAAUACCUUGUAGGCGCGUGUCAUCAUCACGCGCCGAAUACGUCCCUGCCCUUUGUACACACCGCCCGUCGCUCCUACCGAUUGAGUGAUCCGGUGAGGCUCUGGGACCUGGACGGAAAGAGCGUUUCGCUUGUUCUGUUUGGGAAACUUGGUCGAACCUUAUCAUUUAGAGGAAGGAGAAGUCGUAACA